Molecule: small nuclear RNA, 164 nt
Filed under: Castor canadensis (American beaver)
Lineage: Eukaryota; Metazoa; Chordata; Mammalia; Rodentia; Castoridae
Description: U1 spliceosomal RNA (ENSCCNG00000015336.1)
Rfam family: U1 spliceosomal RNA
About the family: U1 is a small nuclear RNA (snRNA) component of the spliceosome (involved in pre-mRNA splicing).
Source: Rfam by way of RNAcentral
AUACUUACCUGGCAGGGGAGAUACCAUGAUCAUGAAGGUGGUUUUCCCAGGACGAGGCUUAUCCAUUGCACUCCAGAUGUGCUGACCCCUGCGAUUUCCCCAAAUGUGGGAAACUCGACUGCAUAAUUUGUGGUAGUGGGGGACUGCGUUCGCGCUCUCCCCUA